UUUAACGUCAAAAGUUAUUUAGGAUCAUCGCACCGAUGCUGAGCGUUGAGCAGUGAUGCAUUUUCUUGUGAAGCCGUGAUGCGUGGCGAAACGAAGUUGAAAGAACAAAUUUAUCAAGCUGCUUUACAAAAAGCCCAUACUAUAACAGGGUCAUUCAACGCAUGUCGGUAACAGUAAACAGCAGCUUUUGUAUUCUCUUCCUUCACUUCUAUCACCACUUAUAUCAGUGUUGGUGUUACUUGUGUAACAAAGCGGUUGUGGGCCAGGUGUACGUACUUGCAACAGUUGCGGCGUGUUUUGGUUGCGUAGUUUUCCAUACGGUUGAAAUCAGAAGUGCAUUGGUUCUGUGCUCGAUGUGAGCGGCUUGUGUACCUACGACGCUGCGUGCGUGCAGUUAGGGCUUGCACGCACUGCGAUGCAGUCGUGCUUGCAGUUUAGGCGAAAUGCUGCGCUGAAUGGCGAUGGAACUAUCUCUGACAACGCAGUCAAGUUACCAGUCAGCCUUCUUCUUCCCUUUGUGUUAUGCAACACCAGAGGCGAAGUCUGAUAGCGAGACAUCAUCAUUCUGUGAAAACCACGCUGCAACAUUACGAACGAGCUUGAGUGCCUUUGACUGCAGCGAUCGGGCUGCUUGUGCUCGAAGUUUAUGCUCUGAUACAGCAGCAUCGUGGCCGUCAACACCAUCUACAAAGAAGUCGCAUAAGCAUAAACUUGGAAAUGAACAUUCAAACCUAGUGUUAAAGAAGUUCUUACAGUCGUUGCAACGGGAUUCAAUGGAACCGACUGACGGCUACUCGCAAAGCACAUCGUACUCAGCGCCGCCAGCCUUGAUGUCGGCAUCACCCAGGACGUCGAUUGCAAGUUCGUUUAGCAGUGAGAGCAUACCGGUUGUGACUACUUCGCAA
Rhipicephalus microplus (southern cattle tick) is the source of this 905-nucleotide long non-coding RNA. NCBI's taxonomy places the organism in Eukaryota, Metazoa, Arthropoda, Arachnida, Ixodida, Ixodidae. The record is from RefSeq and is a predicted model, not a curated record.